AAACAACUGUUGAAUCUCACGAUGAAACACUGCUCUAGAGAGUGGUAGGUUAUAAAACAACUGUUGAAUCUCACGAUGAAACACUGCUCUAGAGAGUGGUAGGUUAUAAAACAACUGUUGAAUCUCACGAUGAAACACUGCUCUAGAGAGUGGUAGGUUAUAAAUCAACUGUUGAAUCUCACGAUGAAACACUGCUCUAGAGAGUGGUAGGUUAUAAAACAACUGUUGAAUCUCACGAUGAAACACUGCUCUAGAGAGUGGUAGGUUAUAAAACAACUGUUGAAUCUCACGAUGAAACACUGCUCUAGAGAGUGGUAGGUUAUAAAACAACUGUUGAAUCUCACGAUGAAACACUGCUCUAGAGAGUGGUAGGUUAUAAAUCAACUGUUGAAUCUCACGAUGAAACACUGCUCUAGAGAGUGGUAGGUUAUAAAACAACUGUUGAAUCUCACGAUGAAACACUGCUCUAGAGAGUGGUAGGUUAUAAAACAACUGUUGAAUCUCACGAUGAAACACUGCUCUAGAGAGUGGUAGGUUAUAAAACAACUGUUGAAUCUCACGAUGAAACACUGCUCUAGAGAGUGGUAGGUUAUAAAUCAACUGUUGAAUCUCACGAUGAAACACUGCUCUAGAGAGUGGUAGGUUAUAAAUCAACUGUUGAAUCUCACGAUGAAACACUGCUCUAGAGAGUGGUAGGUUAUAAAACAACUGUUGAAUCUCACGAUGAAACACUGCUCUAGAGAGUGGUAGGUUAUAAAUCAACUGUUGAAUCUCACGAUGAAACACUGCUCUAGAGAGUGGUAGGUUAUAAAACAACUGUUGAAUCUCACGAUGAAACACUGCUCUAGAGAGUGGUAGGUUAUAAAACAACUGUUGAAUCUCACGAUGAAACACUGCUCUAGAGAGUGGUAGGUUAUAAAUCAACUGUUGAAUCUCACGAUGAAACACUGCUCUAGAGAGUGGUAGGUUAUAAAUCAACUGUUGAAUCUCACGAUGAAACACUGCUCUAGAGAGUGGUAGGUUAUAAAACAACUGUUGAAUCUCACGAUGAAACACUGCUCUAGAGAGUGGUAGGUUAUAAAUCAACUGUUGAAUCUCACGAUGAAACACUGCUCUAGAGAGUGGUAGGUUAUAAAUCAACUGUUGAAUCUCACAAUGAAAUAUAUUCCACCUCAAU
This is a long non-coding RNA of Oncorhynchus keta (chum salmon), 1177 nucleotides long. RefSeq lists it as uncharacterized. The record is from RefSeq and is a predicted model, not a curated record. The transcript is spliced from 3 exons. Lineage: Eukaryota; Metazoa; Chordata; Actinopteri; Salmoniformes; Salmonidae.